UCAACGUGUUAUAAAAAAAAAUGAAGAAGAAAAGAUAUAUAUAUAUAUACAUAUAAAAAACGAAGCAAGUUUGAAGAGUUAAGCCUAACCUAAUAGAAUUGACUCUAAAAAUAGAAUCAACACACAGAGAGACAAUAGAUAGCUCGGGCACAAGAAAGGAAAAGAAUAUAAGUGUGGCUAAAAAUUGAUUCAACGAAAUUUAAAGAAAUUACGUUUAAGUAAUUUGAACGAGGAAGAAAACGUUUAUAAUCUCUCGAAGCCUCUAUCAAAGCUUAUACACGAGCCUCGAAUUAUCCGUUUCACGGAUAUAUAUGUAUAUCUCUAAGCAAAUCUCAAUCCCGCACCGAAUGGACAACACCGACUUGAUGGAUUACCGCGGCCAAAUCUUCAAAUCCUCAAACUCAUUUCGCUAAUCGCCACCGCCAACACCGCCGUCUCCUCCUCCAUUUUAAUCCGCAUUGUCCAGAAGACAUUGUCGUUGCCACGGAAGAAGGAUGGAAUCGCGAAAAGAGGUGCGCUUUCCGUGUACCCGAACAGAGGACUUAGCGUCUAAAAACAACGAGCGACGCCGUUGUCAGUCUGCCAAAAUUCCAUCGCGACCGAACAGUUGCCAGUACCGUACCGUAUCUUCAAAAAAACGUGACUAAAGUUUAGUAUCCGGGUUGCAACAUUUUUUUCUUCUUCUUUCCCGAACCUUCUCGAAUCUGAAAACGAAAAUGAUAAUAAGGUUAUUUCAAUAUGAUAUAACUUUGGACGGAUAGACACGUGUCCAAUUGAUAUUUUUCCUCUCGUUAAUAGAGAAUUUAAUUGUACGUUAUGAGAUGAAUGAAAAAUAAGACAGGUUUGGAUUACUGUAUAUUUUUGGCAUGAAACUAGAGGGAAUAUAAUACACAAAUGGAAUUAACCAGCCAAAGGAGAAUCUUUUAAAUUCAUUUCAUAAAAAGAAAUAUCCUGAGAAGCAGAAAUUUGGAUAAAAAGAUGGUUUUAUAUUAUUAUUACCAUGAGAGAGAAAGGGAGUAAGGGAAAAAAGGAGAUAAAAUAAAACGUUCCGGAAGCCAGAUGAGUUCCCUAAUUGAAUCAAUCAAAAUAUCGAGCAAAAGCGAUUCGAUAAACGAUGGACAAUCUAAUUAACGAGUUAAGAGUCAAGGCUUGACCUUUUACUCUUGGUCACGCACAAUGUCGAAGACGUCGCGCAGAUUUUCGUGUCGAGAUGUAUCGUUGACAAGCAUUCACGAUGGACAAUGGCGGG
Long non-coding RNA from Apis mellifera (honey bee), 1249 nucleotides. RefSeq lists it as uncharacterized. The record is from RefSeq and is a predicted model, not a curated record. Lineage: Eukaryota; Metazoa; Arthropoda; Insecta; Hymenoptera; Apidae. The transcript has 2 exons.